Molecule: ribosomal RNA, 433 nt
Filed under: uncultured bacterium
Lineage: Bacteria
Description: partial 16S ribosomal RNA
Rfam family: Bacterial small subunit ribosomal RNA
Source: RNAcentral
GACGAACGCUGGCGGCAUGCCUAACACAUGCAAGUCGAACGAGACCUUCGGGUCUAGUGGCGCACCGGUGCUUACCACGUGGGAACCUGCCCUUGGGUUCGCAAUAACUCCCCGAAAGGUAUGCUAAUACCGGUUAAUCUCUUCGGGCAAAGGAUUUAUCGCCUUUGGAUGGGGCCGCGUUGGAUUCGCUAGUUGGUAGUGGAAAAGCAUACCAAGGCGACGUUCCAUGGCUGGUCUGAGAGCAUGCUCCGCUCCACUGGGACUGCGACACAGCCCAGACCCCUACGGAGGGGAGCAGUGGGGAAUAUUGGAGAAGGGGCGAAAGCGUGAUCACGCAAUGCCGCGGGAGUGAGGAAGGCCUUAGGGUUGUAAAGCUGUUUUACCCGGGAUGAUAAUGACAGUACUGGGAGAAUAAGCUCCGGCUAACUCCGUG